UUGUGUUCACCACAAUAAUUCCCAAAUCCCACACAAUCAUUCUCUCAUCUCCUCUCAAAUCACCUUCCAACAUAUGAAUGAGUUUCCAUCUGCAAGUUCAAAAACCCUAAUUUCCAUCUUCUUGACCUGACAAUGUUUUCAUCUCCAUAACGCAUCUUCUUCUCCAUCACGCAUUCUUUAAAAAAUUGCAAGAUGCUCUUGAUUCAAUCGCAAGAGAUCUAAAUGAGGGCUUUUCAUCGAUCACUGUUAACGAAGACGAUGAAGAUAUUUGCUUAGUUAUGGUGAUGGCGUAGUAGCGGAUGGCUCUGACAAAAUUAAACCUUGAGGUAUGGUGACAUCAAAAGUUGGGAAGCGGUAUGCUUUUACAGGAUUUUUGAAGCACUGUAAGAGUUGUUCAUAUCAAGGUUGGCACUCCUGCUCCUAUGUGGGAGUAUUGGUAGUUAACUGAUUGGCCUUUGUCUUUACUAAUCUGAUUCGGAAUUGCAGUUUUGUAACUUCAAAAUUAAUUAGGUUAUUGUUUAUAGUAUGGUCUAAACUUGCUUAUCAUGAACGUUCUUUUGAUUGUGUAUAUUUAGAUUUGGUGGUGAAAUCGCACUAUUAUGCGGUUUCAUGAGGAUGCAAUGAAGAAGUCUGCUAUAUGAGAAUAUCAAAACUACCAGUUCCACUUUUGGUCAAAACAUUUUUAUUAUAUGUACAGAUGGUUGGAAAGGUUUUAGCUGUUAAAAAAACUUUUUAUAUGUAUGAAGCUGUCUCCAAGAAGCAGACAACGCUGGCAGUAACAGUCUUAUGGGAUUAAUGAGAAAUUGAAAGCAUUGCAGACUUUGGUUCCAAAUUCUAACAAGACUGAUAAGGCUUCAAUGUUGGAUGAAGCUAUUGAGUAUCUGAAGCAACUUCAACUGAAAGUACAGACCCUUACCAUGCGAAACAGGUUUGAUUUGCCACCUGUUUAUGCACAAGAACAAGGAAUGCAAAGGGGAAUGGGAAUUGGAAUUGAAAUGGGAAUGGGAAAAUAUGGGAAUGGGAAAAGGAUACGAGGGAAUUGGAAUGGGUUACAAUAAAUUUCCAAACACAUGUGAAGGGUUCUCAGCGCGAUGGGAAGUUGGUAUUAUGUCCAACCACAUCGGCAAGCUGUCAUCAACCAACAUGGUGAAAUCAGAUCCCGGUUUUUGCUCAGAACUUGCAAAUGUGAAACAAUACGAAUUUGCCAAUCAUUCGACAUCAAUUAAGGUAGGUUGCAUGGUGCUUGGAACACUUAAAAGAGAUCCCUAUGCAUGGUUCAUGCUUAAAGUAUUACUUGAACAAUUCCAUAUUUGUAUUGGUUGAAUUAUAUAUUUCUAAGACCAGUAGAUUAGAAAUAUAUGUAUGUAAAUUUCAUGCUAAUCCUUUACUUUUCAAGUCACA
Molecule: long non-coding RNA, 1401 nt
Organism: Helianthus annuus (common sunflower)
Lineage: Eukaryota; Viridiplantae; Streptophyta; Magnoliopsida; Asterales; Asteraceae
Exons: 7
Source: RefSeq, a predicted model, not a curated record